UCUCCGUUGGUGAACCAGCGGAGGGAUCAUUACCAGAGUUUUACAACUCCCAACCCUGCUGUGAACCUACCUUUCGUUGCUUCGGCGGACUCGCCCCAGCGUCCGGACGGCCCCGGGCCGACUCGCGACCUGGACCCAGGCGGCCGCCGGCGACCACACAAUCCUGUAUCCAUCAGUCUCUCUGGAUCCGCCGCAAGGCAAAACAAACGAAUCAAAACUUUCAACAAUGGAUCUCUUGGUUCUG
Molecule: unclassified non-coding RNA, 244 nt
Filed under: plant metagenome
Description: partial contains small subunit ribosomal RNA, internal transcribed spacer 1, and 5.8S ribosomal RNA
Source: RNAcentral